AAUAUGUUUCAGGGGUGGUGUGAUUCCACACCGGAGGUGAUCGCGGCAAGCUGACCGCGUAAGUCCUCGACCGCACAAAAGUGCGCUGAUCGGGUGAGAUUCCCGAACCGACGGUAAGAGUCCGGAUGGAAGAAACGACAU
This 141-nucleotide non-coding RNA is filed under the name Hominimerdicola alba. RNAcentral describes it as "Ruminococcus albus FMN sequence". It matches the Rfam family "FMN riboswitch aptamer (RFN element)". Rfam says of the family: The RFN element is a highly conserved domain that is found frequently in the 5'-untranslated regions of prokaryotic mRNAs that encode for flavin mononucleotide (FMN) biosynthesis and transport proteins. RNAcentral also lists the same sequence under 1 other name. Lineage: Bacteria; Bacillati; Bacillota; Clostridia; Eubacteriales; Oscillospiraceae. The record is from RNAcentral.